AUCAGAUGAUGAUGGCGGAGAGAAGAGUUGUGCAGGGCAGGCAAGAAGUGCAUGGUGUUUAUUCAGUAUUUUAGUUUUAAAUGGGCUAAUUGUAUUUCGAGUGAGAACCAUAUGCAUUAUAAAGUAGUGUUAUCUAGCAGUACAGCCUUUGUAUGGUUGGCGUCAACGUGGACAUUUGCUUCACCUGUUAGCUAGCUUGGUGAAAAAGUUCAGUUCGACUGCCUGUUUCAUGUGAACGGAGGUCGCGAGCAGCCGAAACGCCCUGAUCGACCUGCCACCUGGCAAACGAACAGUGUUGAUGAACUGGGUCAUCAGUCCCUGUCGAGGAAAUGGAUUCUGGUGUGAGUGUGUGUGGCUGUGGGAGGCAAGACAACAGGAAGACUGUUUCCUGCAUUCGGUCAAAUCCAGACUGGGCUGUAAACUGGAAGCAGGCUGGUGGCAUAGGUAAGCACAGUAACUGUACGUACACACCGUCGCCGAUUUGAGCUGCUCUGGCCGCCCUGUCGAGGACUCUUGUCAAAUGGUAUGGGGAAGCUUUUGAUGCUUUGGCCACUCUGACGUGGCAGCAUUCUACGUUGUUUGUCGUUUGCCGCUGAACCGUGUCAUAGCUCAUUAGCAUAAGGUAAACCAACUUUCUGCUUGACGCUCAAGACGCGACGCCGACGGAUUUGCCGCUUCUUGCAGCUGAGAGAAGCCGGCUUCCAUUGAAAAUGAAUGACUUCCUGUAUCUUUUGCAGCUCAAGUCGGCGGCGACGGUGGAUGGAAAGGUCGAUGGAAAAACAGACAGGUGUCUCUGAUUGCCAGCGAAUGUUGCCCAGUAAGGUGUUUGUCCUGCGUUCACAUAUGCCAACAGACAAUGCGGUAUCUAGCUUUCUAAUAUCUAUGGCGCAGCAGGUCAUGUGUCAGUUUAGUGUGUGACGCUGGAAGUAGAUAACCUGGAAAUCCAGAGUUCUCGCAAGAGCACAAUGGAAUUGUCUGCGAGACACUCUGGCAAUGAUGCACGUUACUUUUACCCCUUGCAUCCUGUGGAACCAAUCAAAUCGGUGUAUCUGAUAUAGGCGGGCCAGAGGCAAGCUAAACUGAUGACUACUGAUGAGGUCAGUAAACAUUGAUCGUAGUGUUAUCCAAUUGCGUCGAAGUCCAGAAUCAUUCAGAGUGAACAUUGUAUAAGUAUAAAUAAGUAUAUAUACUGAUCCCGUGAGGGAAAUUUGGUCUCUGCAUUUAUCCCAAUCCGUGAAUUAGUAAAACACACUCAGCACACAGUGAA
Molecule: long non-coding RNA, 1267 nt
Organism: Alosa sapidissima (American shad)
Lineage: Eukaryota; Metazoa; Chordata; Actinopteri; Clupeiformes; Clupeidae
Exons: 3
Source: RefSeq, a predicted model, not a curated record